This 253-nucleotide ribosomal RNA is filed under the name uncultured bacterium. RNAcentral's name for it is "partial 16S ribosomal RNA". It matches the Rfam family "Bacterial small subunit ribosomal RNA", at positions 524 to 776 of the family's 1533-position model. The record is from RNAcentral.
UACGAAGGGGGCUAGCGUUGUUCGGAAUUACUGGGCGUAAAGCGCACGUAGGCGGAUUAGUAAGUCAGGAGUGAAAUCCCGGGGCUCAACCUCGGAACUGUCUUUGAUACUGCUGAUCUCGAGUCCGGAAGAGGGGAGUGGAAUUCCUAGUGUAGAGGUGAAAUUCGUAGAUAUUAGGAAGAACACCAGUGGCGAAGGCGGCUCACUGGUCCGGUACUGACGCUGAGGUGCGAAAGCGUGGGGAGCAAACAGG